UACGUAGGGGGCAAGCGUUGUCCGGAUUUAUUGGGCGUAAAGAGCGUGUAGGCGGCCAGGUAGGUCCGUUGUGAAAACUGGAGGCUUAACCUCCAGCUGUCGAUGGAAACCAUCUGGCUAGAGUCCGGAAGAGGAGAGUGGAAUUCCUGGUGUAGCGGUGAAAUGCGCAGAUAUCAGGAAGAACACCUAUGGCGAAGGCAGCUCUCUGGGACGGUACUGACGCUGAGACGCGAAAGCGUGGGGAGCGAACAGG
RNAcentral lists this ribosomal RNA (253 nucleotides) under uncultured bacterium. Its description in RNAcentral is "partial 16S ribosomal RNA". It matches the Rfam family "Bacterial small subunit ribosomal RNA", at positions 524 to 776 of the family's 1533-position model. The record is from RNAcentral.